CCUACGGGAGGCAGCAGUGGGGAAUAUUGGACAAUGGGCGAACAGCCUGAUCCAGCCAUGCCGCGUGUGUGAAGAAGGUCUUCGGAUUGUAAAGUCACUUUAAGUUGGGAGGAAGGGCAGUAAGCUAAUACCUUGCUGUUUUGACGUUACCGACAGAAUAAGCACCGGCUAACUCUGUGCCAGCAGCCGCGGUAAU
This 196-nucleotide ribosomal RNA is filed under the name uncultured bacterium. RNAcentral describes it as "partial 16S ribosomal RNA". It matches the Rfam family "Bacterial small subunit ribosomal RNA", at positions 338 to 524 of the family's 1533-position model. The record is from RNAcentral.